RNAcentral lists this ribosomal RNA (501 nucleotides) under uncultured bacterium. RNAcentral's name for it is "bacterial SSU rRNA". It matches the Rfam family "Bacterial small subunit ribosomal RNA", at positions 28 to 521 of the family's 1533-position model. The record is from RNAcentral.
GACGAACGCUGGCGGCGUGGAUUAGGCAUGCAAGUCGAACGGUAUCAUCCUUUCGGGGGUGAGAGAGUGGCGAACUGGUGAGUAACACGUAGGUUAUCUACCCUCAAGACGGGGACAACCCAGGGAAACUUGGGCUAAUACCGGAUGUGAGCAACUUUUAGUUGUUUGAAAGGUGGCGUAAGCUGUCGCUUGGGGAUGAGCCUGCGUCCUAUUAGUUAGUCGGUGAGGUAACGGCUCACCUAGGCAAUGAUAGGUAGGCGGCCUUAACGGGUGGUCGCCCACACUGGGAUUGAGAUACGGCCCAGACUCCUACGGGAGGCAGCAGUCGAGAAUAGUCUACAAUGGUCGGAAGACUGAUAGUGCGACGCCGCGUGAACGAUGAAUCCCUUCGGGGUGUAAAGUUCUUUUAUAUGUGAGCAGUGCUUCUUAUAUUAACAGUAUGGGGAGAGAGAUAUUAGCAUAUGAAUAAGCAACGGCUAACUCCGUGCCAGCAGCCGCGGU